Molecule: ribosomal RNA, 429 nt
Filed under: bacterium
Lineage: Bacteria
Description: partial 16S ribosomal RNA
Rfam family: Bacterial small subunit ribosomal RNA
Source: RNAcentral
UAGGGAAUCUUCGGCAAUGGGGGCAACCCUGACCGAGCAACGCCGCGUGAGUGAAGAAGGUUUUCGGAUCGUAAAGCUCUGUUGUAAGAGAAGAACGUGUGUGAGAGUGGAAAGUUCACACAGUGACGGUAACUUACCAGAAAGGGACGGCUAACUACGUGCCAGCAGCCGCGGUAAUACGUAGGUCCCGAGCGUUGUCCGGAUUUAUUGGGCGUAAAGCGAGCGCAGGCGGUUUAAUAAGUCUGAAGUUAAAGGCAGUGGCUUAACCAUUGUUCGCUUUGGAAACUGUUAAAAUUGAGCGCAGAAGGGGAGAGUGGAAUUCCAUGUGUAGCGGUGAAAUGCGUAGAUAUAUGGAGGAACACCGGUGGCGAAAGCGGCUCUCUGGUCUGUAACUGACGCUGAGGCUCGAAAGCGUGGGGAGCAAACAGG